Molecule: ribosomal RNA, 776 nt
Filed under: uncultured bacterium
Lineage: Bacteria
Description: bacterial SSU rRNA
Rfam family: Bacterial small subunit ribosomal RNA
Source: RNAcentral
CCACGUGUAGCAGUGAANUGCGUAGAGAUGUGGAGGAAUACCGAUGGCGAAGGCAGCCCCCUGGGAUAAUACUGACGUUCAUGCUCGAAAGCGUGGGUAGCAAACAGGAUUAGAUACCCUGGUAGUNCACGCCCUAAACGAUGUCGAUUAGCUGUUGGGCAGCUUGACUGCUUAGUAGCGUAGCUAACGCGUGAAAUCGACCGCCUGGGGAAUACGGUCGCAAGAUUAAAACUCAAAGGAAUUGACGGGGACCCGCACAAGCGGUGGAUGAUGUGGAUUAAUUCGAUGCAACGCGAAGAACCUUACCUGGUCUUGACAUGUACGGAACCUUCCAGAGACGGAAGGGUGCCUUCGGGAGCCGUAGCACAGGUGCUGCAUGGCUGUCGUCAGCUCGUGUCGUGAGAUGUUGGGUUAAGUCCCGCAACGAGCGCAACCCUUGUCAUUAGUUGCCAUCAUUUAGUUGGGCACUCUAAUGAGACUGCCGGUGACAAACCGGAGGAAGGUGGGGAUGACGUCAAGUCCUCAUGGCCCUUAUGACCAGGGCUUCACACGUCAUACAAUGGUCGGUACAAAGGGUAGCCAAGCCGCGAGGCGGAGCCAAUCUCAUAAAACCGAUCGUAGUCCGGAUUGCACUCUGCAACUCGAGUGCAUGAAGUCGGAAUCGCUAGUAAUCGCAGGUCAGCAUACUGCGGUGAAUACGUUCCCGGGUCUUGUACACACCGCCCGUCACACCAUGGGAGUGGGGGAUACCAGAAGUAGGUAGGGUAACCGCAAGG